GUGCGUGAAACUGAACACUGCAAAGCGAAUAUCUGUGCACUGCUACGAUACGGUUAGCUGUCUUCGACGCUUGGCGCCACCGGCUGAGGCAUCAGGAUGGCUUUCCGUCCUGGUGUUCCAUGUCACAUGCUCGCGAUUCGCCCAUGCGGAGUUGUACUUGCCACCGUGUAAUUCUUGGCUGCUUGGCAGGUUAACAAGCUGGAGGACGUUGGGCGGAGAGGGAUGCGUCGCGCAGCCCCCUGCGCUAAUGGCGUUUAAAUUGAUCGUGCGUUGGCCAUUGUACGCCUGCGUGGCUGUCCCAUCGUGCUUGCCUGCUGUUACUAGUGUCGCGCGUGCCAGGUGUCGGUGUGCGGUUCGUGUGUUCAUAGGCGCCGAUGUCGAUCUUGUCACCGGUUGCCAGUGUGGACUCCACUACCGCUGACUGACGGCUUGCGACCGAGGCAGCUGAUGUGUGCUCAGUGUUCGAACCGUCUUGAAACACGGACUAAGGAGUUCAACUUGAACGCAAGUCGUCUUCACGUGAGAAUUUUGAAGGCGAAGUGAAAUCGAUCCAUCCAAGGAUGUCAACUGGUCGCAAUUACACGCUACUGCUGUAAGAGCGACGCGAGCCUACGUUAUGGGUAACACAACUGAUACAGUUGUUGACUGCACAUGAGCGUUCAAGAUGAGACCCGAAAGAUGGUGAACUAUGCCCGAGUAGAACGAAGCCAGGAGAAAUCCUGGUGGAAGUUCGCAGCGGUUUUGACGUGCAAAUCAAUCGUAAGACUUGGGUAUAGGGGCGAAAGACUAAUCGAACCGUCUAGUUGCUGGUUCCCUCCGAAGUUUCCCUCAGGAAAGCUGGCGUGUCUUAGUUUUACCCGGUAAAGCUAAUGACUGGAGGUAUCGGAGUUGUAAUAUCUUUGACCUACUUUCAAACUUAAAACGGAUAAGACAUUGAUCGCUGCUUUAACGAGCGACAAUUGCAAAUUUCACGCGCCGAGUGGGCCAUUUUUGGUAAGCAGAUCGGGCGCUGUGGGAUGAACUGAACGACGAGCUAUGGCGCCAGACACACUUCUCAGAAGACACCAUGAAAGGUGUUAGUUGAUAAUGACAGCAGGACGGUGGCCAUGGAAGUCGGUAUCCGCUAAGGAGUGUGUAACGACUCACCUGCCGAAUCAACUAGCCCUGAAAAUGGAUGGCGCUGUAGACGUGGGCCUAUGCUCGGCCAUUGAGCUGUCCUGCGCGUAUGCACUGGACGUGUGAAAGCCUCUCGGUGAGUAGGAGGGCGAAGGCGUUGACUCAGAAGCGUGCGGUGUGAACCGGCGUGGAGUCGGCGGUCUUGCAGAUCUUAGUGGCAGUAGCGAGUAUUCAAUAUAAACGUUUGAAGACUGAAGUGGAGAAGGGUUCCAUGUGAACCUCGUUUGAACAUGGCUCAGCCGAUCCUAAGAGUGUGCGAAAUUUUGUGAAAUAAUGUGGGACGUUCUUGCGUCCAUUCAAUUAAAAGGGAAUCGGGCUAAGCUUCCCGAGCCAGGAGACGGAUUAUGAUGGCUUUUUUACGAACAAGUGACAGAAGCGGUAACGCUCGCAAACCCAGAGAGUGCCAUGCGAUGCCCGGGGGAGAGUUCUCUCUUCUUUGUUAGGCAAGCUUACCCUGAAAGCGCUUUUUUCGGAGACAGGGUUUAACUGCCGUAUUGCGGAGUGACUUUUGCGCCGCACCGUGUGCAUUGUGUGGCCCGUAAAAAUCUGGGGGCGCAGAUAUUUGUCUUGUUCCUGAUCGUACCCAGUUCCGCAUCAGGUCUCCAAGGUAUAUAGCCUCUAGUUUAUGGGAUAAAGUAGGCAAGGGAAGUCGGCAAGUCAGAUCUGUACCCUUGGAAAAAGGAUUGGCUCUGAAGGCUGAGUUGAUCGGGGCUGUUGCCGAAAGGGGGCGGAUUCGCUUGGGGGCUGGUCGACGGCUUGCCUCGUAGGAGGUCGGCUCCAGAUCAGGCUCUCGCGUGUUCUGUCUUACGGACGGCUCCAGCUUGUCAGUGCGCGGUGCUCCUAGUAGUACCGCGUGCGCAAAUCGGUCAACGGCGAACAGCCACAUCAGAACUGGUACGGACAAGGGGAAUCCGACUGUCUAAUUAAAACAGAGCAUUGCGAUAGCCGUUGCCGGUUUUGACGCAAUGUGAUUUCUGCCCAGUGCUCAGACUGUUAACGUGGCGAGAUCUAAAUAAGCGCGGGUAAACGGCGGGAGUAACUAUGACUCUCUCGAGGUAGCCAAAUGCCUCGUCAUCUAAUUAAUGACGCGCAUGAAUGGAUCAAUGAGAUUCCCACUGUCCCUGUCUACAACCCAGCGAAACCACAGCCAAGGGAACGGGCUUGGGAUGAGACGGCGGGGAAAGAAGACCCUGUUGAGCUUGACUCUAGUCAGUUUUUGUGAAGAAACGUGAAAGAUAUAGGAUACGUGGGACCUUCGGGGUCAUUGAAAUACCACUGCUUUCAUUGUUACUUGACUAACUCGAUUACCUUGUUGGCGAAGUUGCUUAUUGCUAUCACACAUGUAUUUCUUGGUUCAGUGCAUGAGAACGUUAUUAUUCGAGAACUCUGGCAGAUUGGGAGUUUGACUGGGGCGGUACAUCUACUAAAGUCUAACGCAGGUGUCCAAAAGUAAUCUCAGCGAGAACAGAAGCCUCGCGAGGCGUAAAAGGGCAAAAGUUUGCUUGAUCUUGACUUCCAGUUGGGGUAUGGACGAUGAAAGUUCGGCCUAUUGAUCCUUUUGAAUUUUACGGAUUUUGAGCAAGAGGUGUCAGAAAAGUUACCACAGGGAUAACUGGCUUGUGG
Molecule: ribosomal RNA, 2799 nt
Filed under: Centrorhynchus aluconis
Lineage: Eukaryota; Metazoa; Acanthocephala; Palaeacanthocephala; Polymorphida; Centrorhynchidae
Description: partial large subunit ribosomal RNA
Rfam family: Eukaryotic large subunit ribosomal RNA
Source: RNAcentral